UCAUAACUUAGUGAGUUUGGCUCUACAAUUCGUGGUAUUUAUCCACCAUGUGGGGCAAAACAGGGAUUUAGUAUUAGGGUCUCUUGAACAAUCACAUGAAAAAGACCAACAUAGUUCAGUGGCUGUCACAUUCAUUGUUUUCAGGGCUAAGAGGGGAUUGCCUACCAGUGGGUUGAAAGCAUAAGAAUGUAGUUGUAGCGUUUUAUGGGGUUUUGAGUAUGUAGGUACUUCUCCAAUAGUGAGAGGGGGUAGUGACAGCUAUAAGACAAGAUUGUGUGGUGUUUUCAGUACUGAGGAGAGAGUUGAGGCAAAAUGAGGUUAGAUUAAAAGCCUUUGAUAUCUGCAUCCAUAUAUUUCCCUGCCAUACAUUAUUAUAUUCUGGUCUCAAGUCAUAGUAGCAUAACUGAACAGAGCAUACAAUGGUAAAGGAUAAGAACACUUUCAUGAUGGAGGAUCGGUAAGGUGCACUUGUUUGCAGUGGCUGGUGUGUAUCCAUGUGGGCUUACCUUCCAGUUUCACAGAUGUAGCUGUAGUUAGCAAUACUUGGAAGGGACCAUCAAAUCUUGGCUCAAGUCCUUUUCUCAUUUGUCUUUUUAUCACUACCCAAUCUCCAGGUUGUAGUUUAUGAGUGGUAGGACUGGAGUCUGGAUCUGGAAUAGAAUCAAACACUUGUUUUUGCA
Molecule: non-coding RNA, 680 nt
Organism: Pelobates cultripes (western spadefoot toad)
Lineage: Eukaryota; Metazoa; Chordata; Amphibia; Anura; Pelobatidae
Source: the annotation of a GenBank genome assembly